CCAAGCAGUAUGAUUAUUUCAUUUAUUCACUAUUCCAUUUAUUAUUAAUGUCUCAUUUCAGUUUAACUUUGGCUUAAGUUUUGUAUUUAUUGCAGUUUAUAUGAAAAGGUUCAUGUAGCGUGGUACAGCCUACUGCAGAAAUUAAUAAGCAAAUGUAAAACGAAAUAUAGCCUGCUGUCACUUUAAGAGCCGCACGGAUCCAAAUCACUGUUACACGCGUAUUUUCAUUCUCAACUCUUUGCAUUCAUUUAUUAUAUGACCGACGAAGUUUGUGUCUACAGCAGCUACUGUAUAUACACCCCAAAGGCUCUUUUAAGAGCCACAUCACGAGAGCGUCUUUGGCUUUGCUAUUUUCAGAGCCACAUCGCCCAGCAUCCUUGGCUUUCACCUACAUACACCCCAAGGCUCUUUUCAGAGCCACUCGCCCAGCAUCACACAGCAUUGUGAACUACCUACGGUCAAUCGGGGGUUCGAAUCCAGGAGCAGCUGUUUAAGGUGGCAACCAAUGAGGUCCUGGGUGCAUACAACCUUCGGGGGAAGAAAUCAAAACUAGCCUUCCAAGACCUCAGGAUUUGUUCCAUUAUUAUAGGAGCAACACAGAAGACUUUUAAAUCACUGAAGUCAGUUGAGGUGGAGGAUCUGAUUUCACUGGCCCUGAAAAUGAUCACUAUUGCACACCAAUCUUUGUAAUCCCCUGCAAUAAAAAAAAUGACCACAUGGUGCGUUGUUCAGUUCAGAAGUGGGGCAACUGAAAUUGUGCCAAACUCAUGGGUUGAAGGAGAUAAAGUCUUCUGGCCCCCAUACCCUCCUAAGGACUCUAUUAGGCUGAAUGCAGCCAUCCUGAAUAGAGAGCAGCCUGGUCAGGGAUGGCACACAUACCAGCCUAUCCGUCUCCUCAUAACUCGUGAUAGUCAUGAUGAGGCAGCGAGGAGCCUGGACAGAUAUCUCAAUAAAGAUUGUGACAUCACUGACAUCCAGUCUGAGGAGGAGAGCCACCAUGCCCUGAAAAGAAAAAGAAGACCGAAUCCAGUUUAUCACUCAGACGAGGAGCCCCAGAAUGAGUGCAGAUUCACCCAAGCCCCAAAAGUGUUAUUUCCAGCGACCCAACUAGCCAGUCAGAACAGCCAACCAUCACCACCUCCACGAAUCUAUCAGACCCUCCAACGCCCCAAUUCCCCCAUGUUGUCUUACCCCAAUGUCCCAGCAUCGUUCCCUGGAGAUGAAUUGGUGUUCUCUCCAAUUAAUUUACUCCAGAGGCCAUCUCCUGAAGUUGUUUCAGAUUCUUCAGAAACUGCCAGGUUGGCAUUAAAAGAUGUGGCUAUGCAAAAACUUCUUACUGCAGUGACAGAGCUGUCCAAGGAGGUGAAGGACCUGCGGGAGGAGUUUAGGCAAUUCCGCCAGUCCUGCAGGUGUGGACAAUCGGAGUCUGUGGUACAGCCACUGUCGGAGCCCUUGGAGCUGCCCUUCCACACCAUGGAGGCCCUGGCCCAUGCAGAAGAGACACUGUUAAAUGGCACAAACCGACAGGCAAUGACUGCUCGUCUCGCCACCAUUGGAGGGACUACCCUAGAGGUGAGGGUCCGCCGUAUGAUGGCACACCUGUUGUCGAAUGAACUGGCUCCAAGACUGAACUGGGCUGGAAAAAAGAACAAGGAGCCUACUAAACAAAAACGUCCCUUUAAAGAGUUGGCACUCUGCCGAUCUUUGUUUGGUGCAGAGCGGACAACGCAUCACGACACCGUCACAGCAGAUGACCUACUAACCCGGAACAACACUUCUUCUUCUUCUUCUUCUUCUUCUUCCUUGAUGUUUAACGGCGGUUGGCAUCCAACUUCAAUGGUGCAUUACCGCCACCUACUGUACUGGAGUGUGAACCGGAGCUAGACAAAGAGAAACUAAAACUAAAAUGGAGACUUCCAACUCUCUUCCCCCACCCUUUAAUUAAUAAUUAAAAAAAAUAAAAAUAAAUUUAGAUUUCCAAAAUUGUCUUCUAUAUUCUAUUUGCUAUCCCUGUGUCCUUAAGGAAGGUAAAUAAAUGAGUACUGAUAUCAUUUGAAGUUAAUCCCAGAAGUUCCUUAAGUGAAUUCCCUUGCACCCCCAAAUUCCUUAUGCUUUCUUUCAUCUUUAUCCUUUCUCGAUCAUAUUUUUGGCAUUCAAGUACCACAUGUUCAACAUAUUCAAUACUGUCACAAAAUUCACAUCUUCCUGUUACAUGCUUACCUAAAAUAUGUAAGCACUUAUUUAACCCACAAUGUCCAAUCCUUAACCUAGUGAAAAUUAUUUCUUCCCUUCGACUCCUUCCAGUGAUCCUCUCUGUCCCAACCUUCUGUUGUAUUCUGUAUAAAUGUCUCCCUUUCUCCUCUCUAUCCCAACCACUCUGCCACUUUUUCAUAAUUUCCAUCCAGAUUUUUGUUUUAGCUUCUGUUUUACUCAUUAAGAUUGAUAUUUCCACAUCUUCUCUUUUACUGGCUUGUUU
Molecule: long non-coding RNA, 2476 nt
Organism: Cyprinus carpio carpio
Lineage: Eukaryota; Metazoa; Chordata; Actinopteri; Cypriniformes; Cyprinidae
Source: Ensembl